This 205-nucleotide long non-coding RNA is filed under the name Pelobates cultripes (western spadefoot toad). Lineage: Eukaryota; Metazoa; Chordata; Amphibia; Anura; Pelobatidae. The record is from RNAcentral.
AGCGGUUCUGGGUACAGCAAUUACAGCAGCAGGUGGUCCAAAAGGGUAUCCUCCUUUCUUGGUCCUGUUCAGCUGACGGAUAUACACCUUGUCACCGGGCUGGUAUGGAUGAGUAGGUUCCUGUGAAGGUAAGGGAAAACUGCGAAGAAACAUUGUCAUACAUACCAUUCGGUUUUAUCAACAAUUCCUGUACAUAUUGUUCUUG